CACAAAGAUGAGCCUUGUCCAUUCCUCAGUUUGGCUGACUCUGCCAAAAAUCUGCUAAUUCAUUUUCCCUGUGCAGGAGAGUCGGACUCAGCUUCUCACCCUCACACAGCCUUCUCUGGCCUCAGUGACUGGGUACAGGCUGAGAGAAGCUGACCUCAGCCCAACAAAAACACAGCCUGUAUCCUCCAAGAUCCCUGCCAGGAGCCACUGCCCAGCAAAAAUCUGAGGAAGAUCUUACCAGAAGGUCUAGCCUGGCUUUCCCAGAUGGCUGGAGUCAUCUCUCAGCACCUGUGUAAAGUAUCUCCCAGCCCACCUCAGCCAUCCACCACCAGCCUGACACAGACAAGGUUCCUUAUGCAUGAGAAGCUCAACAGAAACCUGGGAGCCUCAGUGGCCCUCGCUAAAAACCUCCGAGGCGUGCCUAGACACAUCUUCCCAGGCAUGGUGGUACACACCCAUUAUUCCAGCACUCAAGAGGCUGAGACGAGAGGAUUGCCAGGAUUUCAAAACUACCCCAAUCUACAUGGUAAAUUCCAAUCCAGGCUAGACCUUAUGGGGGGCAGUGGAGAACCAGGGCCUGACUGUGUCACAGUCCUCCCUAUAAACCUCUUGUGGCUCCCAGCUGCCAAGUCCAAACAGACAAGGACCUUGUUUCUCCUUUCCCUCCCCGCUGGCAUUUGCUG
This 683-nucleotide long non-coding RNA is filed under the name Cricetulus griseus (Chinese hamster). RNAcentral describes it as "lncRNA (ENSCGRG00015039992.1)". The record is from RNAcentral. Lineage: Eukaryota; Metazoa; Chordata; Mammalia; Rodentia; Cricetidae.